UAGGGGGUAUGCAACUAUUAUGCAGUGAAAUACGAGGUCGCUUUCUCUUUCCAACUAGCACGUGUGGGCAAGCAAGGACUGAUUGAGACUUCCAAACUCAUCCCGGACAGAAAAGGAGGCCUGGGAGAGUCUUUCCUCUGCUUGAUCUUAUGCAAACUCUAAACUUGGCCCCAGAAUGGAUCACGCUGCUGCAUUAGACAUGGCACAACUGCUUCCAAGGCUGCCAAGAUCUUCCCAGGCAAAGAAGCAGAGGGAACAGGCCAUUACCUGCAAAGGCACGGCACCCAUGGCCUUAGCAGGAAAUUUUACUCUUCACACACAAUGUUUACAUAACCAGAAAAUCUUGACCCAGCAAACAAACAGGUGUUUCACGUUACAAAAAAAGACAGUAGGAGAAUGGGGGAUACGGGUUUUAAAGGCCAUUUAAUGUAUUUGCUGUAUUUUAAUUCUGUUUUUACCACAUUGUUAUUAUUUAAUUGUUUUUUAAACUUUUGUAUUGCUAUUUUUAAACUCUUUAAUAUUAAUUGAUGUUAGCUGCCUUGAGUCCCCAUAGGAAGAAAGGUGGGAUAUAAAGAUAAUAAUAAUAAUCAUAAUAAUAAUCAUAAUCAUGAAGUUAAAGAAAACACAAAUGGGUGAUUUUUUUAAAGAAUGCAUAGCCUUUCAGAUCCUGGAGAAAGCACUCAAAUACUUCUGUUAGACAUUUCCAUCCUGGUGCCAUAGUACUGCAGAAUAAAAUUAAAAGUGUCUAUGUAUCCAUUC
This is a long non-coding RNA of Anolis carolinensis (green anole), 759 nucleotides long. RefSeq lists it as uncharacterized. NCBI's taxonomy places the organism in Eukaryota, Metazoa, Chordata, Lepidosauria, Squamata, Anolidae. The record is from RefSeq and is a predicted model, not a curated record. The transcript is spliced from 2 exons.